Molecule: long non-coding RNA, 1065 nt
Filed under: Salmo salar (Atlantic salmon)
Lineage: Eukaryota; Metazoa; Chordata; Actinopteri; Salmoniformes; Salmonidae
Description: lncRNA (ENSSSAG00000097920.1)
Source: RNAcentral
AAGUUUAAUAAUAGAAAGGUGAAUGCAGCGAUCAGGUUGGUUCCACCAGGGUAAUCAUAAUCACCAUUGAUAAUGUUAUCAGUGCUCUGUGUGUGUGUGUGUGUGUGUGUGUGUGACCGACCAGUAUCUUUGAUGAGGGGCCAGGAGCUCAUCUAUGCUGCUGAGGGGCCAGGAGCUCAUCUACUCCGCUAUUCUCCGGCAAAGACAUCACCUACAGCCCCACCUCUUGCCUGCUCACCAAUGGUCAUCGAUGGAACAGAAUUAGAUGGACUGGAGAUGCUUUUUGCCAGAUGGCAGACUCAGUCUGAUGGGGAGACCGUCAUUGGAAACAUAUAUAUGCAGCCAGCACAUGGAGACUUGCAAGAUGAUGGGAUGACUCCAGUCCAGACUGACAGACGGGCUUGAAACUGAUGUCUCUGAAUGGAGAGAGACCUGGCACUCGGCAUUACAAUUUUACAAGACAGAACUUUUACUUGUAUUGUCUUUUUUUAAUGAUUGAAUUGUAUUGUAUCUGGGGAGGGAGAAACCUUGUGUAUUCUGCACCGGGAAAAGGGAACUCCUGGACACCACACCGUAAUGAACACGAGAGAAACAGAGAGCUGGUUUCAAGCGCAGAGCGCAGCAGGUGUUUAAUAAAUAAAUGUUUUGACUGUUUUGACCAAGUUAAUCUGCUCAUGUUGUGUGUGUUCAAUUACUUGUGAUAUUGUGGCAUUUAAAGCAUAUUGAUGAGUUCUGAGGGCCGAUCUGUGAUAUCCAACUAUUUGGUUUAAUAGCCCGGCUACUUUAGGUGUGAAACUCCACCCAACUUGCAAUGUAUUCGAUGCUUAAGCUCUCUAAAGUUUAAUACAUAUAUAUAGAUACACACACAUAUAUAUACAGUUGAAGUCGGAAGUUUGCAUACACCUUAGCCAAAUACAUUUAAACUCAGUUAUUAACAAUACCUGACAUUUAUUCCUAGUAAAAGUUCCCUGUCUUGGGUCAGUUAGGAUCACCACUUUAUUGUAAGAAUGUGAAAUGUCAGAAUAAUAGUAGAGAGAAUGAUUUAUUUCAGCUUUUAUUUCUUUC